Triticum urartu is the source of this 3313-nucleotide non-coding RNA. The record is from RefSeq and is a predicted model, not a curated record. Lineage: Eukaryota; Viridiplantae; Streptophyta; Magnoliopsida; Poales; Poaceae.
GUCCCAUCCGCGCGCCGCGCCCGCACCCAACGCAACCCAAUCCCCUCGUCCCGCACGCCGUGCACACUCCGGUCCCCUCAUCCCGCACGAACCCUAGGAGAGAGAGAUAGGAAGAUGCAAGGGAGAGAAAGGGGAGAGGAGAGGGAGGUCCGACAGCGGACGGGAGAGGGUGACCGGCCGGCGUCGGCCUGCGCCCCUCCUGGCGCACGAACCCUAGCCGAGAGACAAAAUGAGGGGGAGAGAGAGAAGGAAGGAGAGGAGGGAGAAAUAGAGAGGAAAGAGGAAAGGGAGGUGCGGCGGCUGACAGGAGAGAGGGUCAUCGGCCGGCGCCGGAGAGGACGGGCCCAACCUGGACGUGACUUGGAGGUUGGCGGCUGCUCGAUCCACUCCUGGAUCGGGAGCUGCGACGAGGCUGGGGCUCGGGCACGUUGUACGGGGUGGUCUCGCCGGCGAUGACAGGGCUGAUCGGCCGGAGUUGGAUCGAGAUCCCGGCUGGCACGGCUCAGCUCCAACUCCCUCUUCCACCUCUCCGCUCCCCGACACUCAAAUCUGGCUCUUCUGCACACAUCAGUAGCUAUGGAAAGAAAGCUUGUAGUGGAGUGGGUUCCUUUGUAUGAUCUUGGAAGAUGAUGACCUCUGAAGCCCAUUAGAAAGCAUGGCAAUGGCUUAAGGUUAGCGCAUUUCGAGAAGCCAACAGAUCGCCGCCUACUUCCUUAGGCUGACAAUCACCUGCGGGAUAAAGUGCGAUGUUUUGCCUGAGGUGAGAACAAAGACAGGAUCAAGGACUAGGCAACGUGGUCGUCGCGCAUGAACCAGUGUAGCCCAUUGGCACUGGUAAAGUUGUAUCGGCGGCUCAGGCACAUGAAGACCAGGUUGCUCAUCAGUUGGAUGUGGAGUUGCGUCUGAGCUAGGACUCUCCCAUGAUCACUACAUAGAAAAAGAUACAUCCAGUUUGGUUUCUAAUGUCUGUUUUUGCCUAAGCAAAAAAGGUAACAAGCUUAUAUUGUCGUAUGGUUCUCAGUUUGUCUUUUCAAACCAUUAGAUUGCCCGGAACAUCUAGGAACGACCUUUUUGUGUCCCCAAUAUUAUCCUAUUUUGUGAAUAAUCUUAUAUUGUUGAUGCUGCAUACAAUCAAAGUAUGUUCUUAUAAUCAUACUUAUGGCUAGCCAAAUUUUAUGGGUCCAACCUUAUACUCAUUAGAUACAACCUUUGUAUCUGCUUUUGCAAGUUGUCGCUUGCCAGGUGCGACCUGGUGAGUGGUGGCGGCUUGAUCCACUCUUGGAUCCUUCUUACACUUCCCUGCCGGCUAGGUCAGCUACGACCUGGUGGGUGGUGGCGGCUCGAUCCACUCUUGGAUCCUUCUUACACUUCCCUGCCGGCUAGGUCAGCUAUGACCUGGUGGUUGGUGGCGGCUUGAUCCACUCCUGGAUCCUUCUCCCACUUCCCCGUUGCCUAACACCGAGCACCCGGAUGGGAGCAUGGGAUCGACGGUGGCCGGAAACAUGAUUUAAAAUGGGACUUUAUACCACCAAAUAAGAAUGUGUGUACAUAUAUUUCAUUGUACGCAACAACACACCGUUUUUUGGGUAAUACUCUACCCAGGCUUAAUUCGUCCUAGCAAAAGAAAUCACAUCAUGAGCAAAAGAACGAAUUCGCUACUAACGUUUCAAAUCAAGAUUUAUCCAUCUAACAGUCCCAAAAUAUAUUUCCGUUCUCAUUAUUGCAACAACGUUUUUUGUACCAACAAUGUGACACUGCACUACAAUAUAUUUUCACAGGCCAUGGAAAAAUAAAGAAUUUGACAAUAGAUAGCCUCCAGUCUAAAAUUAUAAUUUUGCGCGCACUUUGGAGCUAUUGGAUGCCUGAAAAUAUCGGUCCUCAUGUAAUCUAACCGUUACACCUCUUGAGUCCAAUUAGGAACUCUUUCAUUAUUGGUUAUAAAGUGUUUGCUUUGGUCAGUUAAUAAUCCCUCUGUUCAUAAAUACAAGACAUUUUAGAGACAAGAUGCAUAUUUAAUGAAGCAUCCACUUGCUGUAGAAAGCAUGUUUUAUGGUUCUGUACCAGGUAAGGUGUUUAGUAACCUAUUUAACAAUGCUUUCCAGCUUCUUUCCAUGUUCUAACAUACUUCAUGUGUUGUGUAAUAAUCUACUGAUGGCCAGUUACAACUCCAUUUCACUAUGGACACUGCAUAUGAUGUUCUUUAUUCUCAGCAAAGCAAACAUCUUAUUUGUUUCUCAUACUAUUCUCUACAAAAAACUAGGCGUUGCUGAAGCUGGAGUCAUGAUGGCGUUAGUAAUCUUGGUGAUGCUUCUUAUACGGCAAACCAACUUGUUUUUGAUUAUCCUAUGGGUUAUUUAUCCAAAUGUUGCAUAUAGUAGUAUUGUUGAGCUAAUAAUAUUUGAAUCUGAGGUAGCAUACUAUUUCAAUUUGAGUUCAAAAAUUAUAAAUCUUAGUAUUUGUUUUCAGUUAUCAAUCUUCUUCCCUUCUCCUUUUUUGGGUCACUUUUGAUAGCUUCUUUCAUUCUGUACAUUUUAGUUGCUGCCUCAAGCCUUGGCUCUUUUUCUAGACUAGGCCUCAAUUUAUGGGAAAAUGCAGUCUUCAUUUACUGAGUUAUAUUUUUGUCUUGGUUUCUUCCAGGUCCCUCGUACAGUGGUUCAGAAAAAACCCUAUCCAAUGGAGAUGAUGCAUGAGGAGCGGCAAAGUCAUGAUCCAUAAAGCCCUAUGUUAUUCUUUUUCUCACUAUGAUUUUACUUUUUAUGGUUGGAUGCCAAGUAGCCAAGCAGACGCUUUUUCAUAGAUUAGUUUCUUAGUUUCAUAACUUGAACUGCGUUGUCGAGUGCAGUGUGUAGGCUCUUUCUCGAUUGCUCAGCAGGCGAUCAACGCGGCACAUGUGGAGGCUGUGAGAGCUGUGAAUGGCACGGGUCUUGUCGUACUUAUGAGCAGGAGCACGGGCCACAUUACUCUUCAUGCCACUCUGAGCAGCUGAGAUGUUGACUGCUGGUUGAGAUUGAUUUCCACGUUGAAUGGAAUGGAGACCUAUUUGAGUUCCUGUAUGGGAGGGUAAAGAAGAAGGGGCAUGUUGUUGUGGUUGUUGUUGAAGGCGUUGGUCAGGAGUUGAUUACCUGGACUGAUGACCAGAACCGAGAGCGGGAUGAGUAUGUCAACAUGUUGUUCUUUGACAUUGGCCUUAAGUUUACAUGCAACUCUCCUCCAUGGUUACUCAUUUCUGUUACCGUUGUUGUAUCAAAACAAUUGUAUUUUUGUUGAUGGCCGCUUGGGCUCUUUUUCGAGGAGAAAGACGUGGGAUAAACUA